ACAGAACACUCCAUCUCGAAUAAAUAGGCAACACUGGAUAGUCACAAUUUUCAUUCCUGUUAGUUUGACAAGGUUUCUUCAGAUCAGAAAACUGAGGCUCAGACUGGUAAAAAGACUUAUCACUGGUGAUACAGCAGAUAAAUUUCAGCUCUUCUACUCCAUGAUCUGAGCAUGGAAUCACAGAAUCAAAGACUUUAAGAGUUGGAAGAGCCUCAGAGACCAACCCCUGUCCAGAAGGAAACAAAACUCAGCACUCAUGUCCAAUUGCCUA
Vombatus ursinus (common wombat) is the source of this 271-nucleotide long non-coding RNA. RefSeq lists it as uncharacterized. NCBI's taxonomy places the organism in Eukaryota, Metazoa, Chordata, Mammalia, Diprotodontia, Vombatidae. The record is from RefSeq and is a predicted model, not a curated record. The transcript has 3 exons.